UACGGAGGGUGCAAGCGUUAUCCGGAUUCACUGGGUUUAAAGGGUGCGUAGGCGGGCAGGUAAGUCCGUGGUGAAAUCUCUGAGCUUAACUCAGAAACUGCCAUGGAUACUAUUUGUCCUGAAUGUUGUGGAGGUAAGCGGAAUAUGUCAUGUAGCGGUGAAAUGCUUAGAUAUGACAUAGAACACCCAUUGCGAAGGCAGCUUACUACACAAAAUAUUGACGCUGAGGCACGAAAAGCGUGGGGGAUCAAAACAGG
RNAcentral lists this ribosomal RNA (257 nucleotides) under uncultured bacterium. RNAcentral's name for it is "partial 16S ribosomal RNA". It matches the Rfam family "Bacterial small subunit ribosomal RNA", at positions 524 to 776 of the family's 1533-position model. The record is from RNAcentral.